This 433-nucleotide ribosomal RNA is filed under the name uncultured bacterium. RNAcentral describes it as "partial 16S ribosomal RNA". It matches the Rfam family "Bacterial small subunit ribosomal RNA", at positions 29 to 507 of the family's 1533-position model. The record is from RNAcentral.
AACGAACGCUGGCGGCAUGCCUAACACAUGCAAGUCGAACGAGACCUUCGGGUCUAGUGGCGCACGGGUGCGUAACGCGUGGGAACCUGCCCUUAGGUUCGGAAUAACUCCCCGAAAGGGGUGCUAAUACCGGAUAAUGUCUUCGGACCAAAGAUUUAUCGCCUUUGGAUGGGCCCGCGUUGGAUUAGCUAGUUGGUAGGGUAAAAGCCUACCAAGGCGACGAUCCAUAGCUGGUCUGAGAGGAUGAUCAGCCACACUGGGACUGAGACACGGCCCAGACUCCUACGGGAGGCAGCAGUGGGGAAUAUUGGAGAAUGGGCGAAAGCCUGAUCCAGCAAUGCCGCGUGAGUGAUGAAGGCCUUAGGGUUGUAAAGCUCUUUUACCCGGGAUGAUAAUGACAGUACCGGGAGAAUAAGCUUCGGCUAACUCCGUG